UUAUUAUGACAUCAUGUGCAAGUCAUGUACACUGGAAAGUGCUUUAAACUACCCUAAAUUGAGACUGUAUCUGUAACUUUGACCUGACUGCUAUAGUUGACUAUACUACCCUAAAAUGAUACUAUAUUUUUUGAUGUAAGUCAGAUGAAAUCUAUACUUUUAUUUGAUUGCUAUCUUUGGAAAUAGUAACAUGCAUCUUAUUAUUACUUUUUCCCUUGGUUCUAGCUUAUCUUCACAUAAUCCUGAAGUUUUUAGUUCAUCCAAACGAGGAGGUGCCUUAUUGGCUCCAGGCAAGUCAAAUUAAACAGACAUGGGCCCUGUUCUUACAACACUAUUGGCAGCAUUGUUACAGACAGGCAACCAAAGGACAUCAGAUGCAGACAUCAGCAAACAAACGCAUGAAUGAAGACCUUGCAUUGUUUGUGGUAAUCUGAGG
RNAcentral lists this long non-coding RNA (436 nucleotides) under Mustela putorius furo (domestic ferret). RNAcentral's name for it is "lncRNA (ENSMPUG00000025856.1)". The record is from RNAcentral. Lineage: Eukaryota; Metazoa; Chordata; Mammalia; Carnivora; Mustelidae.